This 111-nucleotide small RNA is filed under the name Nocardioides sp. Its description in RNAcentral is "Guanidine-I sequence". It matches the Rfam family "Guanidine-I riboswitch aptamer". Rfam says of the family: This family represents a conserved RNA structure found upstream of the ykkC and yxkD genes in Bacillus subtilis and related genes in other bacteria. RNAcentral also lists the same sequence under 1 other name. The record is from RNAcentral. Lineage: Bacteria; Bacillati; Actinomycetota; Actinomycetes; Propionibacteriales; Nocardioidaceae.
GCGGGGCGCCCCUAGGGUUCCGUCUCCGGCAACGGAGGGCCUGGUCCGAGAGGGGAGGCGGUCGCACAGAGAUGUACGACCGUUCCACGGCGGGACAAAAGCCCGGGAGGC